Long non-coding RNA from Salvia miltiorrhiza (redroot sage), 1304 nucleotides. RefSeq lists it as uncharacterized. The transcript is spliced from 2 exons. NCBI's taxonomy places the organism in Eukaryota, Viridiplantae, Streptophyta, Magnoliopsida, Lamiales, Lamiaceae. The record is from RefSeq and is a predicted model, not a curated record.
AAAUUAGGCCCUACUUAAAUUAAAAUCAGAGGCCCAUACAGUAAUUAAAAUCGGCCCAAUUAAAAAAAUAGAGGCCCAAUUCGAAUUAAAAUGGAAGCCCAAGUCACUAAAAUAUGAAAGCCCAAACUCUCUCUCUCUCUCAAAAUUCUCGGUUCUUCCCUUUUUCUCAAAUCUCACAACCGACACUCUCUCUCUCAAACUCAAAGCAGAACACGCUCUGCUCUUCUUCUCGAUUCAAAAACCAGUCGAUCGGCCCUUCCCAGCUCGCUCGACGUCUUCUUCUCCGGCCAUCCAGCCGCUUGCUCCGGUCGUCGUCAUCUGUCGACGCGUCAAAGCCCCGGCGCCGUCCUCUUUCCUCCCCGCAGAGCCCCGAAAUCGCGCCCUAGAUCUGAAUCGUCAUCGUUGCCGCCGAAAUUGGUCGGUUAGUCGCCGCCUGGGAGCGGCGUUGCUCCGUACUCUGACCAUUCCAGCCACCGGCGACUGCUGCUGUUUCGCCGGAGUCGCGGCCUGGAGUUGCUGCUGUUGCUACUCUUUCGCCCGGAAUCCGGCGAGCGGUCGCCGUCUGAGGUGGGCGAUAUUUUGGAGCGUUGUUUCUGUGUUCAAAACCCGGCGGAAUCCCGUGCCUGGUUUGCACCCAUCGUCGUUGACGUUCUGGGAGUCGGCGGCUUUACCGCGAUUCUGAUUCGGAGCGCCGGUUGGCUUCUCCUUCUUUGGCCGCUGUUUCUGUCAUUCCUAUGCAGGCAAGACUACGAGAGUUCGCUGCCCAUCUUCUUUCCCCGUUCGGCAGUAGAAAAAGAAAAAGGCAGCGGCUUGCCGCCGAGCCGUCUCCGGCCGUGAGCAGCCCCCGGCUGUUCUCACCCACUUCUAUUCCGGCGAGUAGCAGCGAAAGCCGCCGCCGAUCCUUGUGUUCACGGCUCAGCAGCCUCACAAUCUCAGCCCUCUCCUCGCCGAUCGACUGCAACGAAGGUCGCCACCUUCGACGGCCUCCUCCAACAACUCACACAUCCCGACUCACAACAACAGCGUCAACAGCUUCAUCUCAACACUCACGCCCACACACAAUGCAUAGAUACUCCCUUUUCUUUUCUUUAACCAAUUUGUGGUAAUUCUAAAAUGUAGUAGAAAGAACAUUUUAUGGAACUCAUUUAUCAGAAAAAGAACAAGGUAUGCGUGCUGAUUUCUGUGACAUAAUAUGUGUGCGUAUCCUCUGUGAAUUGUGCAGUCCUAGUUAGUGUUGAUUAUGUACAUGAACAUGUCAUCGGUGAUGGUUUUCUUUAUAAAAUGAAUGACUGAUUUUGAGUGUA